Molecule: non-coding RNA, 76 nt
Organism: Mycena leptocephala
Lineage: Eukaryota; Fungi; Basidiomycota; Agaricomycetes; Agaricales; Mycenaceae
Source: the annotation of a GenBank genome assembly
UCCACUAUAGCACAGUGGUAAGACUGACCGUAACUUCGGAAACGGGAGGUCGGUGGUUCGAUUCCCCCAGGUGGCA